CCCGCCGCCCCCGCCCGCCUACGGGAGGCAGCAGUGGGGAAUAUUGCACAAUGGGGGAAACCCUGAUGCAGCCAUGCCGCGUGUGUGAAGAAGGCCUUCGGGUUGUAAAGCACUUUCAGUUGUGAGGAAAGUUUAGUAGUUAAUACCUGCUAGAUGUGACGUUAGCAACAGAAGAAGCACCGGCUAACUCCGUGCCAGCAGCCGCGGUAAUACGGAGGGUGCGAGCGUUAAUCGGAAUUACUGGGCGUAAAGCGCACGCAGGCGGUCUGUUAAGCUAGAUGUGAAAGCCCCGCGCUCAACGUGGGAGGGUCAUUUAGAACUGGCAGACUAGAGUCUUGGAGAGGGGAGUGGAAUUCCAGGUGUAGCGGUGAAAUGCGUAGAGAUCUGGAGGAACAUCAAUGGCGAAGGCAACUCCCUGGCCAAAGACUGACGCUCAUGUGCGAAAGUGUGGGUAGCGAACAGGAUUAGAUACCCUGGUAGUCCACACCGUAAACGCUGUCUACUAGCUGUUUGUGGAUUUAAUCG
This 525-nucleotide ribosomal RNA is filed under the name uncultured Gammaproteobacteria bacterium. RNAcentral's name for it is "bacterial SSU rRNA". It matches the Rfam family "Bacterial small subunit ribosomal RNA", at positions 325 to 838 of the family's 1533-position model. The record is from RNAcentral. Lineage: Bacteria; Pseudomonadati; Pseudomonadota; Gammaproteobacteria.